GAGCUCAUGAACUAUAGUCCACCAAGCUCCUCUGUCCAUGUAAUUCUCCAGGCAAGAAUACUGGAGUCAGUAACCAUUCCCUUCUCCAGGGGAUAUUCCUGACUCAGGGAUCGAAUCUGGGUCUCCCACAUUGCAGGCAGAUUCUUAACCGUCUGAGCCACCAGGAAAGCCCCAUGUAUAUGUAUUCAUAUGUAUAUAAUAGACUUCUGCCUCUGAAUCAUGGGCCACAUGGAGGACGGGAUAUUGCCACGGGAGGGGGUGGAUGGUAGUGAUCACACCAGCUUCAUUUUGGCUCACUGUGCAGAAGGCAUGGAGUUAAGUCUUGGCACACAUUUUCUUUUCUUUCUUUUUUUUUUAAGACUGUGCUGUGCAGCUUGCAGGAUUCUUAGUUCCCCAACCAGGGAUCAAACCCAUGCCCCACUGCUCUGGGAGUGUAGAGGCUCAACCACUGGACCGCCCAGGAAGUCCCCACAUUUUCGUAUUUAAUGCCCCCCACACCUGAACACUUAGGAGGCAGAAUUCUCCUAAGAAUUCCGUCACCCUGCACUAGGUUGGAAGCUCUGGGCACAGAGGAGUUUCCUGGACAGUUCAGUGCUGAGUCUUGAACAGACCCCGGCAUGUCGUGGAUGCCUGGCACAUGCCUGGAGGAAUGAAUUACACUGCAUAAGUAUGUGUCAAAUCAAGCCGUGUUUCCAGCCCCAAGUGCACACAGCCAGGAAGAGAAGGAAGGCGAGCAUGGCGUCUGGAUCCGUUUACGCUCACCGUGGAGCCUGCUCCCUUCUUCCCACAUGGGACAGCUCUUGUGCACUGAACUUUCAUCACGAUUCUGGGUGCUGUGGAGAGAGCUGUGAACAAGAGGCAAAGCACCCAGCUCCCUCAUCGAGUGGGUCAGAUGGAAAGUCAACAGGAUGCUGGAGAGAGGAUGCACCUGAUGGGUACGUGCUGCUCCAGCUGACGGCAGUGUGA
Molecule: transfer RNA, 966 nt
Filed under: Capra hircus (goat)
Lineage: Eukaryota; Metazoa; Chordata; Mammalia; Artiodactyla; Bovidae
Description: lncRNA (ENSCHIG00010008923.1)
Source: RNAcentral